Molecule: ribosomal RNA, 473 nt
Filed under: uncultured bacterium
Lineage: Bacteria
Description: bacterial SSU rRNA
Rfam family: Bacterial small subunit ribosomal RNA
Source: RNAcentral
UAGGGAAUUUUGGGCAAUGGGCGAAAGCCUGACCCAGCAACGCCGCGUGUGGGAUGAAGGCCCUCGGGUCGUAAACCACUGUCAGGAGGAAAGAAAAGUCGGCCGGAUAAUACUCGGUCGACCUGACGGUACCUCCAAAGGAAGCACCGGCUAACUCCGUGCCAGCAGCCGCGGUAAGACGGAAGGUGCAAGCGUUGCUCGGAAUCACUGGGCGUAAAGGGUGCGUAGGCGGCCUCGUAAGUCUGACGUGAAAGCCCCGGGCUCAGCCCGGGAAGUGCGCUAGAAACUGUGAGGCUCGAGUGCCGGAGGGGAGAGUGGAAUUCCUGGUGUAGCGGUGAAAUGCGUAGAUAUCAGGAGGAAUACCGGUGGCGAAAGCGACUCUCUGGACGGCAACUGACGCUGAGGCACGAAAGCGUGGGGAGCAAACAGGAUUAGAUACCCACGUAGUCCCUGAGCGGGCUGGCAAGGCGCAU